CCCUUUUCUCACUCUAUAAUUUCCCUCAAAUCCCCCGCCGAUUCUCUCUCACGCCAUUCUCAGUUUCGCCAACCGCAAAUCCUUACAGCUCCAUCCUCCGCCUCCAGAUUCGUCGAGAUGAGAGCCCCAACACCGUCGCCUGCACCACCGUCUCAGAAAAGUGAGCCAAAAUCUCGCGAGAAUCAGGCUGCACACGAGCGGAUCCAAAGGCCAAACCUCCGAUCUUGAAGUCGACACACCCAGAGGAUCAUAUCAUAUGGACGCCUGGCUUUUGGUUGAUUGCAGCAGUCUCCUAAUCUAUUGGCUUUCGGUUCGCUGGUAAUGUGAUGUUGUCUCUGUCUUGGCUUGAAGUAUCUCACUCAUAUGUAUUCAAUCUGAAAAGGGAGAGCUUGUGCGUGCUUUAGGAGGAGCUGUGGCAUCCACAUCUCUUCUUGGAGUUCCUCUUGGACAUAACUCCUCGUUU
Molecule: small RNA, 463 nt
Filed under: Malus domestica (apple)
Lineage: Eukaryota; Viridiplantae; Streptophyta; Magnoliopsida; Rosales; Rosaceae
Description: sRNA MD04G0113500
Source: RNAcentral